RNAcentral lists this ribosomal RNA (468 nucleotides) under uncultured bacterium. Its description in RNAcentral is "partial 16S ribosomal RNA". It matches the Rfam family "Bacterial small subunit ribosomal RNA", at positions 28 to 507 of the family's 1533-position model. The record is from RNAcentral.
GACGAACGCUGGCGGCGUGCUUAACACAUGCAAGUCGAACGGAAAGGCCCUGCUUUUGUGGGGUGCUCGAGUGGCGAACGGGUGAGUAACACGUGAGUAACCUGCCCUUGACUUUGGGAUAACUUCAGGAAACUGGGGCUAAUACCGGAUAGGAGCUCCUGCUGCAUGGUGGGGGUUGGAAAGUUUCGGCGGUUGGGGAUGGACUCGCGGCUUAUCAGCUUGUUGGUGGGGUAGUUGCUUACCAAGGCUUUGACGGGUAGCCGGCCUGAGAGGGUGAACGGCCACAUUGGGACUGAGAUACGGCCCAGACUCCUACGGGAGGCAGCAGUGGGGAAUAUUGCACAAUGGGAGGAAGCCUGAUGCAGAAACGCCGCGUGCGGGAUGACGGCCUUCGGGUUGUAAACAGCUUUCGCCUGUGACGAAGCGUGAGUGACGGUAAUGGGUAAAGAAGCACCGGCUAACUACGUG